GGGCACUCAGCCACUGAGCCACAUCCCAACCCUGUUUUGUGUUUUAUUUAGAGACAGGGUCUCACUGAGUUGCUUAGGGCCUCACUUUUGCUGAGUCUGGCUUUGAACUCUCGAUCCUCCUGCCUCAGCCUCCUGAGCCGCAUGCCCCACUGCAUCCAGCUGCAAUUCCUGUUUGUUUAUUGCCAGGGUGCCUCAGACAGUGGGAUCAGGUGUUUUGAAAAUGAGAACCAAAGGAAGUUUUUCCUCUUCCUUCAGGGUGCUGAGACUGUUAAACCUUUCUCUCUCUCUCUUUUAUUUUUUUCCUGCUUGCUGAAUAGUAUUUUCUAGAAAAGAAGCGAGACAAGUCAAAUCUAUUGAGAGAGUCAAGAAUAUGUCUUCCCUGGUGAUGGGUCCACUCAACCCAGCCAGAACCAGACAUCUAAUUUUUACAAAUGUUUAUGUAAGUAGUCACUUCCAGUAUGUUCUAGCUAAUUGUAAGUUAUUUGGUCAUGCGCAUUCAUUCCAUCAUUGUAUCUUCAGAAGUGGCUCUCGAGGGAAUGCAGGGGGCUCGGAUCACUCUGAUAAUGUCUGUGGUUACGUUUGACUGAUUUGCCUCUUAGCUGCACCAUGUCUCCAUGGAAUUCCAUUUGAGAGAGAUUUAAAAAUUAAACAUCAUGAAUAUUCAACAAAGCUGCCUGAAAGUUCAGCUCCAAGUGACUUAAUCACCGUCUUUGCAAGUUUUCCUUGAAGAAGCCCUUGUUGGACCCAGGGAAGCAUUUUUAUUCUAGAUUGAAAAAAAAAUUAAAAGUUAAAUGUGAAUAUGGUGUUGAACAAUUCUAUGAAAUGUUGAAUUUUAAUGUCCCUGGAAAAACGUUUCACCCUGGCAGGGCUUUUGCUUUUUGAAGACAAGGUUGUUUCUUAAUGUCAUCUCUGCUGGUGGACACACUGCAUUAGUUUCCAGGGAACAUAGGGCCAAUUCAGAACAGAUAUGCAUUAAGUCCAUUUUAGUCUUCUUUGCUCUGAUUCAGAAGAGAGAAUCGUAAGUCACAAAAAGUCCCUUUCACAUCCUAAUAGCUGGAAUAGAACGAACAAAGGUGUUCAGAAAGAUUACCCCAAAGUUGAAAAAAAGAGUACCAUGAGCCCCUUGGAAUUAUUAUCCACUAUUCGACCUCAAGCCUCCUGAACAAACAAUGUAGUAGUCUUAAAGGCAAAUGAGAAAAUUAUUUAGUUACUGAAGGUCUGCUCACUUGCCAAACAAGCAAGAGAAUCAAAACUGAGGUCAAUAGUAAGGGGCUGUGAGUUGGCGAUGUCAUUAGCCAGAGUCCCUUUGCCUAAGCUCCUGGUAAUUCAAAGACUAGGCCAUACUGGAUCAAGUCCAAAGCCAGGAGGUUUUGUACCAAUAUCUUCCCUGUGGUGGACAUUGCGGCUUUCCACCUAUAAUCAAAGAACAAUAUAUCCAUUCACCGGAGUGUAAUUAAUUAGAGAUGUCACUGCUGAAGAACCUAUACUAACAAUAGCACAGUACAGGUGUUCUUCAUUUUAUAGUUGAUAAAUACUUUUUCAUAAUCUUAGGACCUUGACCUAGGAGGGGAG
This 1572-nucleotide long non-coding RNA is filed under the name Marmota monax (woodchuck). Lineage: Eukaryota; Metazoa; Chordata; Mammalia; Rodentia; Sciuridae. The record is from RNAcentral.